RNAcentral lists this unclassified non-coding RNA (77 nucleotides) under Pseudomonas yamanorum. Lineage: Bacteria; Pseudomonadati; Pseudomonadota; Gammaproteobacteria; Pseudomonadales; Pseudomonadaceae. The record is from RNAcentral.
CUUUAGCGAGGCUGCGAUGGCGUCGGCACUGUCAGCAAUGUGUUGCCUGACCUGCCGCUAUCGCAGCCUCGCUCAAG